CUUACCAGGUCCAGACACAGUUAGGAUUGACAGAUUGAGAGCUCUUUCUUGAUUCUGUGGGUGGUGGUGCAUGGCCGUUCUUAGUUGGUGGAGUGAUUUGUCUGGUUAAUUCCGAUAACGAACGAGACCUCAGUUUAUUAAUUAAAUAAAAAAAUAUUAACAAUAUAAGGGUUAAAAAAGAAUAUAUUAGUAUUUAUAUUAAUAUACCUUUUUUAAAACUUGUUUAUAUUUCAUUUUAUUUUCUUAAAAAGACACUUGGUGUUUAACCAAGGGAAGUUUGAGGCAAUAACAGGUCUGUGAUGCCCUUUAGAUGUUCUGGGCCGCACGCGCGCUACACUGAUAAAAUCAAUAAGUUUUUUUAUUAAAUUAACCUUAAUAGAAAUAUUUGGGUAAACUUUGAAAAUUUUAUCGUGCUGGGGAUUGACAAUUGUAAUUAUUUGUCAUCAACGAGGAAUUCCUAGUAAACGUAAGUCAUCAGCUUACGUUGAUUACGUCCCUGCCCUUUGUACACACCGCCGUC
RNAcentral lists this ribosomal RNA (520 nucleotides) under Korotnevella stella. Its description in RNAcentral is "partial 18S ribosomal RNA". It matches the Rfam family "Eukaryotic small subunit ribosomal RNA", at positions 1214 to 1677 of the family's 1831-position model. The record is from RNAcentral. Lineage: Eukaryota; Discosea; Flabellinia; Dactylopodida; Paramoebidae.